RNAcentral lists this ribosomal RNA (253 nucleotides) under uncultured bacterium. RNAcentral's name for it is "partial 16S ribosomal RNA". It matches the Rfam family "Bacterial small subunit ribosomal RNA", at positions 524 to 776 of the family's 1533-position model. The record is from RNAcentral.
GACGUAGGGCGCAAGCGUUGUCCGGAUUUAUUGGGCGUAAAGAGCUCGUAGGCGGCUUGCCACGUCUGCCGUGAAAACCAGCAGCUUAACUGUUGGCUUGCGGUUGAUACGGGUUGGCUGGAGUUCGGUAGGGGAGACUGGAAUUCCUGGUGUAGCGGUGAAAUGCGCAGAUAUCAGGAGGAACACCAGUGGCGAAGGCGACUUCCUGGCCUGUCCUUGACGCUGAGGCGCGAAAGCUAGGGGAGCAAACGGG